UUGGCCCAAGCGGGUGGAGCAUGGGGUUUAAUUGGACGCAACGGGAAGAACCUUACCUGGGCUUGAACUGCUAUGGACCGGCGCAGAGAUGUGCCUUUUCGCAAGAACCGUAGCAGAGGUGCUGCAUGGCUGUCGUCAGCUCGUGUCGUGAGAUGUUGGGUUAAGUCCCGCAACGAGCGCAACCCUUACCCCUAGUUGCCACCGCGUCAUGGCGGGAACUUUACGGGGACUGCCCGGGUUAACCGGGAGGAAGGUGGGGAUGAUGUCAAGUCCUCAUGGCCCUUAUGUCCAGGGCUACACACGUGUACCAAUGGGCGACCAAACCGUCCAAAGUCGCGAGAUGGAGCAAAUCGGAGAAAGUCGUCCCCAGUUCGGAUUGUAGUCUCCAAYUGGACUCCAUAAAUGGGAUUCGUUGGAUC
RNAcentral lists this ribosomal RNA (419 nucleotides) under uncultured bacterium. RNAcentral describes it as "bacterial SSU rRNA". It matches the Rfam family "Bacterial small subunit ribosomal RNA", at positions 923 to 1341 of the family's 1533-position model. The record is from RNAcentral.